UUGAACGCUGGCGGCAUGCCUUACACAUGCAAGUCGAACGGUAGAGUAGCGAUACUCGAGAGUGGCGAACGGGUGAGUAAUAUAUCGGAACGUGCCUAUUUGUGGGGGAUAACGUAGCGAAAGUUACGCUAAUACCGCAUACGCCCUGAGGGGGAAAGCGGGGGAUUCGUAAGAACCUCGCGCAAUUAGAGCGGCCGAUGUCGGAUUAGCUAGUUGGUGGGGUAAAGGCUCACCAAGGCGACGAUCCGUAGCGGGUCUGAGAGGAUGAUCCGCCACACUGGGACUGAGACACGGCCCAGACUCCUACGGGAGGCAGCAGUGGGGAAUUUUGGACAAUGGGCGAAAGCCUGAUCCAGCCAUGCCGCGUGAGUGAAGAAGGCCUUCGGGUUGUAAAGCUCUUUCAGCCGGAAAGAAAUCGCGCAGGCUAAUACUCUGCGUGGAUGACGGUACCGGAAGAAGAAGCACCGGCUAACUACGU
RNAcentral lists this ribosomal RNA (478 nucleotides) under uncultured bacterium. Its description in RNAcentral is "bacterial SSU rRNA". It matches the Rfam family "Bacterial small subunit ribosomal RNA", at positions 30 to 506 of the family's 1533-position model. The record is from RNAcentral.